Molecule: ribosomal RNA, 436 nt
Filed under: uncultured bacterium
Lineage: Bacteria
Description: bacterial SSU rRNA
Rfam family: Bacterial small subunit ribosomal RNA
Source: RNAcentral
UAACGCGAAGAACCUUACCUAGGCUUGACAUGCACGGAAAUCUCGUAGAGAUACGGGGUGCCUUUGGCGUCGUGCACAGGUGGUGCAUGGUUGUCGUCAGCUCGUGUCGUGAGAUGUUGGGUUAAGUCCCGCAACGAGCGCAACCCCUGUCGCAUGUUGCCAGCACGUGAUGGUGGGGACUCAUAGGAGACUGCCGGGGUCAACUCGGAGGAAGGUGGGGAUGACGUCAAAUCAUCAUGCCCCUUAUGUCUAGGGCUGCAAACAUGCUACAAUGGCCGGUACAAAGGGCUGCGAUACCGCGAGGUGGAGCGAAUCCCAAAAAGCCGGUCUCAGUUCGGAUUGGGGUCUGCAACUCGACCCCAUGAAGUUGGAGUCGCUAGUAAUCGCAGAUCAGCAACGCUGCGGUGAAUACGUUCCCGGGUCUUGUACACACCGA